Molecule: long non-coding RNA, 1274 nt
Organism: Nicotiana tabacum (common tobacco)
Lineage: Eukaryota; Viridiplantae; Streptophyta; Magnoliopsida; Solanales; Solanaceae
Source: RefSeq, a predicted model, not a curated record
UUGGGGACAACCGAAAAAUACCAAAAAAUGACUCCUCCUCCAUUUCAUUCUCUACCAAUAGUCAACUAUUUUCACCGUUAGCUGCAUUUUGUUCCAAUAUCUCAUGCCAUCAUCCUUUAAUUUCGAUUUAGGGUUUCAUGAAAAAAUUUCAGUUUCUCAGAAGCUUCUCGAAGAACCUCGAUCUCUUUAUCGAUAAGUUGAUUUUUUUUUCUUUGAUCGAAAAUGUUUGCUACGUACUUUCGUCUAUAUAGUGGCUAUGUAUGUAAUUUUUCAUAUCCAGAAGCUCAAAACCUAGCAAUCGAUUGAUCCGAUUCAGCUUUUGUGCAUCUCUUGAUUUUGGGUUUCAUGAAAUGUUUCAUUUUGUUGGGAGAUUCUUGAACAUCGAUUCAAAAAAUUUAUUAUAUAUUUUGGUCUAAAUAGUAGCUACAUGAGUAAUUGUUGCUCAAAAGUAUAUGCCUAGAAGCUCAAAAUCUCGUAAAUGAUUAGCUUUCAGCUUUUGUAGUUAUGAAUAUUGUAUUUUUUGCUUGUAGUGUAAUGUUGUAGCAAUUCUGUUGUAUAUGAUAGUAAUAACUAACUAGAAAAUCAAGCACCAGAAGAAGAAGAAGAGAUCAAAAGCUUCUAAACAAGGCAAUGUUGUUAAUGGUUCUGAUAAUAGCAAAGUAGGGGAGAGUAGUGUUUUAAAGGUUUUAACAGAUUAGCUCUGUAUCUGUAGAGGAAGAUGAAUGUUCUUAUAAAGAGGCAAAUGGAAACUUGAAUAAAGCGAUGAAUAUUCUGAGUGAUUUGGUAGAGCGUGAGGAAGAGGACAAGAUCAUGAGCUGCUCAAGCUCGAGUGGGAAUGUCAGUUCGAGCUUGGAUUCGAGUAAAAACUCAGACAUGUUUGUUAGGAGUUAAUCGUUGCAGAAUUCGGCUCAGCGCAAGGCUAAUACAAAGAAAUUGGUAGCUGCUGCAGGAACAAUCUCAGCGAUGAUAGGGAAGGAUUACGUGAGGUGUGAAUUUACUUACCGGAGAUUGAGCAUGACAGACACCCCAGGAUCAUCCAGUCAGGACCGCUGCAUCCAGGAGUUGCUUAAGGAGAUUUCUUAUGUUUUGAGUCUAUUUCUUUUUAUGUUGUCUUGUACUUUAUAGUCAUGUCCAGUAGUAAUGAUUCUUUUAGUUGGUGUCGGAGUUUGUCGUAGUAUAGUUGAGUUGAGUCUCUCGUUAUCAUAUUUCCUAUUUUGUAUUUGAAAAUAAAAAAAAGUUGUAAUGAAUAAUCCAAAAAGAUUUUUAUUUUUUUA